CUGCCUGGACCUGCGCGCGCCUGACCCCGCGAGGCACGUAAGAAGGGGCAUUGCACGCGCAGACCCCGGGGGCCCCAGCUCGCGCCCGGCCUGGCUCUUCUAGGCCGGCUGCCUCGGAUAGGCGCCGCACCUGAUCGUCUACCAUCGAGGCUCAGGACUUUAGCGGCCUCCGCCGGGAAGACAGCACUGGAUCCCCAGCAGCCCUUCGUGACCACUUCAUGCUAUCUCCACAAUCUUUUGGGGGCUGGAAAGAUUGCUAAUCCCAUUUCAUAGAGUCUGUGAGCGUCACCUGUCUGGAGAGAGAGAACUAAUACUGACUGAUCACCUCCUGUAUGCCAAGCAGCAUGCCUUGUGCUUCAAACAUCUUGACUCAUUGGAUUCUGCCCACGACCCCAUGAAAUGAGAAAAUGGAGGCCCAGAGAGGGCAAGUAACUCAUGCAAGCUCCCGCAACCACCAAACAGCAGAGACAAGAGAGAGAGAGAGGGACAAGACCUCUUGGGGCUGAACAAGGAGGCAGCACUGGGACAGGAUCAAGAAACUGCUUCUUACUAGCUAUUCGACCUC
Heterocephalus glaber (naked mole-rat) is the source of this 565-nucleotide long non-coding RNA. RefSeq lists it as uncharacterized. The record is from RefSeq and is a predicted model, not a curated record. NCBI's taxonomy places the organism in Eukaryota, Metazoa, Chordata, Mammalia, Rodentia, Bathyergidae.